RNAcentral lists this ribosomal RNA (301 nucleotides) under uncultured bacterium. RNAcentral describes it as "partial 16S ribosomal RNA". It matches the Rfam family "Bacterial small subunit ribosomal RNA", at positions 509 to 807 of the family's 1533-position model. The record is from RNAcentral.
CAGCCGCCGCGGUAAUACGAAGGGUGCAAGCGUUAAUCGGAAUUACUGGGCGUAAAGCGCGCGUAGGUGGUUUGGUAAGAUGGAUGUGAAAUCCCCGGGCUCAACCUGGGAACUGCAUCCAUAACUGCCUGACUAGAGUACGGUAGAGGGUGGUGGAAUUUCCUGUGUAGCGGUGAAAUGCGUAGAGAUCUGGAGGAAUACCGGUGGCGAAGGCGGCCCCCUGGACAAAGACUGACGCUCAGGUGCGAAAGCGUGGGGAGCAAACAGGAUUAGAUACCCGCGUAGUCCCUGUCUCUUAUAC